UACGAGUGCCCCGAGCGUUAUCCGGAAUUAUUGGGCGUAAAGGGUGCGUAGGUGGUUGUGUUAGUCCUUUGUUAAAACUCUUGGCUUAACCAAGAAGGUGCGGAGGAAACGGCACGACUAGAGAGUGUGAGAGGCAAGCGGAACUCAUGGUGUAGGGGUGAAAUCCGUUAAUAUCAUGGGGAACACCGAAGGCGAAGGCAGCUUGCUGGCACAUUUCUGACACUGAAGCACGAAAGCGUGGGGAUCAAACAGG
RNAcentral lists this ribosomal RNA (253 nucleotides) under uncultured bacterium. RNAcentral's name for it is "partial 16S ribosomal RNA". It matches the Rfam family "Bacterial small subunit ribosomal RNA", at positions 524 to 776 of the family's 1533-position model. The record is from RNAcentral.